This 109-nucleotide small RNA is filed under the name Blepharisma japonicum. RNAcentral describes it as "partial Alphaproteobacteria transfer-messenger RNA". Lineage: Eukaryota; Ciliophora; Heterotrichea; Heterotrichida; Blepharismidae. The record is from RNAcentral.
UUGAAGUGGCAAUUUGGGCUCGAUUUAUUUCUACAGAAAAUAAUGCAAGCUAUAAAAUUGCAAUUGAAAAAUCCCAUCAAGAAAACAUGUAUGAAGGCUUAAUAUAUAU